This 520-nucleotide long non-coding RNA is filed under the name Homo sapiens (human). RNAcentral describes it as "non-protein coding lnc-RIBC1-1:1". The record is from RNAcentral. Lineage: Eukaryota; Metazoa; Chordata; Mammalia; Primates; Hominidae.
GUCCCUGUUCCAGGGCUGUGUGCUGCUGGUCAUCAACACACUGGGCUGUGGUGUGCUUAUGGUAGCCCGGGAUGGUGUGUGACAGUCCUGGGAGGUCUACACCCAGCCUGACCAGAUGUUCCACAGGUGGCACUCAGUGAGCAUGCUUGCAGUGGAUGGCAGCGUGGAUCCUUUCCCGCACUACUGGUACCUCUGGCUGGACCACCUACUCCCUGUGUCUGGCCUCUGUGGCCUCCCAAAUGCCCUCAGGAAGGUCCUCAUGGAUCGAUCAGCUGGUAGCCUCUCCCAUGCUGAGCAUAUGACACGUCUUGGGCCUUGGCUGCCUGGAAGGCCAGACGCUGGGAGAGAGCUGCCAGGAGCUGCAGGACAAGUUCUGGGAAUUCUACAAGGCUGACUGGUGCAUGUGGCCGGCUGCACGCUGGCGAACUUUCCCUUUGUGCACCCCCCUCCUCCCAGUUCCGAGUCACCUACAUCAAUGGCCUGACAUUGGGCUGGGACACAUAUCUGUCCUACCUGAAGU